RNAcentral lists this transfer RNA (86 nucleotides) under Lentisphaeria bacterium. RNAcentral describes it as "tRNA-Leu". It matches the Rfam family "tRNA". From Rfam's summary of the family: Transfer RNA (tRNA) molecules are approximately 80 nucleotides in length. Their secondary structure includes four short double-helical elements and three loops (D, anti-codon, and T loops). Further hydrogen bonds mediate the characteristic L-shaped molecular structure. tRNAs have two regions of fundamental functional importance: the anti-codon, which is responsible for specific mRNA codon recognition, and the 3' end, to which the tRNAs corresponding amino acid is attached (by aminoacyl-tRNA synthetases). tRNAs cope with the degeneracy of the genetic code in two manners: having more than one tRNA (with a specific anti-codon) for a particular amino acid; and 'wobble' base-pairing, i.e. permitting non-standard base-pairing at the 3rd anti-codon position. The record is from RNAcentral. RNAcentral also lists the same sequence under 1 other name. Lineage: Bacteria; Pseudomonadati; Lentisphaerota; Lentisphaeria.
GCCGGAGUGGCGGAAUGGCAGACGCGCUAGACUCAAAAUCUGGUAUCCGUAAGGGUGUGCGGGUUCGACUCCCGCCUCCGGUACCA